Molecule: ribosomal RNA, 504 nt
Filed under: uncultured bacterium
Lineage: Bacteria
Description: partial 16S ribosomal RNA
Rfam family: Bacterial small subunit ribosomal RNA
Source: RNAcentral
GACGAACGCUGGCGGCGUGCCUAAUACAUGCAAGUAGAACGCACAGUUUAUACCGUAGCUUGCUACACCAUAGACUGUGAGUUGCGAACGGGUGAGUAACGCGUAGGUAACCUGCCUGGUAGCGGGGGAUAACUAUUGGAAACGAUAGCUAAUACCGCAUAAUAUUGAUUAUUGCAUGAUAAUUAAUUGAAAGGUGCAAUUGCACCACUACCAGAUGGACCUGCGUUGUAUUAGCUAGUAGGUGAGGUAACGGCUCACCUAGGCGACGAUACAUAGCCGACCUGAGAGGGUGAUCGGCCACACUGGGACUGAGACACGGCCCAGACUCCUACGGGAGGCAGCAGUAGGGAAUCUUCGGCAAUGGACGAAAGUCUGACCGAGCAACGCCGCGUGAGUGAAGAAGGUUUUCGGAUCGUAAAGCUCUGUUGUAAGAGAAGAACGGGUGUGAGAGUGGAAAGUUCACACUGUGACGGUAUCUUACCAGAAAAGGACGGCUAACUACGU